AAGACAUAUUUCCGGGCCCUCUUCACUACAGAGCCCUCCAACGCCUACAGGCGUCAUACCUCAGGGGCGGCGUCUCAUACAAGGAUAUCGUGACACUAGACGCGAAAGAGGAACUCCACUGGUGGCUCCUACAAAUGGAGGCGUGGAAUGGCAGGGCUCCAGAUGUAGUCAUAGAAUCAGAUGCAAGUUCUUAAGGAUGGG
Molecule: non-coding RNA, 201 nt
Organism: Pelobates cultripes (western spadefoot toad)
Lineage: Eukaryota; Metazoa; Chordata; Amphibia; Anura; Pelobatidae
Source: the annotation of a GenBank genome assembly